RNAcentral lists this ribosomal RNA (433 nucleotides) under uncultured bacterium. Its description in RNAcentral is "partial 16S ribosomal RNA". It matches the Rfam family "Bacterial small subunit ribosomal RNA", at positions 29 to 507 of the family's 1533-position model. The record is from RNAcentral.
AACGAACGCUGGCGGCAUGCCUAACACAUGCAAGUCGAACGAGACCUUCGGGUCUAGUGGCGCACGGGUGCGUAACGCGUGGGAACCUGCCCUUAGGUUCGGAAUAACUCCCCGAAAGGGGUGCUAAUACCGGAUAAUGUCUUCGGACCUAAGAUUUAUCGCCUUUGGAUGGGCCCGCGUUGGAUUAGCUAGUUGGUAGGGUAAAAGCCUACCAAGGCGACGAUCCAUAGCUGGUCUGAGAGGAUGAUCAGCCACACUGGGACUGAGACACGGCCCAGACUCCUACGGGAGGCAGCAGUGGGGAAUAUUGGACAAUGGGCGAAAGCCUGAUCCAGCAAUGCCACGUGAGUGAUGAAGGCCUUAGGGUUGUAAAGCUCUUUUACCCGGGAUGAUAAUGACAGUACCGGGAGAAUAAGCUCCGGCUAACUCCGUG